Molecule: ribosomal RNA, 252 nt
Filed under: uncultured bacterium
Lineage: Bacteria
Description: partial 16S ribosomal RNA
Rfam family: Bacterial small subunit ribosomal RNA
Source: RNAcentral
UACAGAGGGUGCGAGCGUUGUCCGGAAUCACUGGGCGUAAAGGGCGCGUAGGCGGCUUGAUAAGCGUGCGGUGAAAGCCCGGGCUCAACCCCGGGUCGGCCGUGCGAACUGUCGAGCUGGAGCACUGUAGAGGCAGGUGGAAUUCCGGGUGUAGCGGUGGAAUGCGUAGAGAUCCGGAAGAACACCGGUGGCGAAGGCGGCCUGCUGGGCAGUAGCUGACGCUGAGGCGCGACAGCGUGGGGAGCAAACAGG